CACACAUCUAGUGACAAAAAACCGCGGAUACUUUUUAGAUGACCCAAUAUAAUUUAUUUCUAAACAGGUUAGAAAACAUUGAAGAAAUUUCUAACAGAAUGGAAAACAUUGAAGGAUCCAAAGUUAAUCCAGAUCGAAAUUCAAUUUAUGAAAAGAGGAUGCACUAAAUAACAGAAAAAGAACAGAAAAUUGGAUUCUUAGGCUUCAUAAUUUGCUUGAAAAAAAAGUGUUAUCGGUAUUUGUUACCAAUAUAUACAAUCAUCUGAAAAUAAAUGGGAUUAUUUAUUAACAUAUAAAAUGUCGCAAGACCACACACAUCUUGAACUGUCUUUUGUCUGCGAUUUCUCUACGAUUCAGCAAGAUUUGGCCACAAUCCAUGAUAAUAAUAAUCCGAUAUGCCGAUAAUUUCAAAUUGCUUUUAAAUAAUUACUUGUAUAUUGUAAAAUAGGUGACAGAAUAUGCCAAUAGUGUACUUCAAGACACUACUUCAUUUUUACAUGUAUUGUAUUAUCAAUGACUGCGUUCAGCCGAACGUUUAUUUUGCAACUGUUGCAAAAUAAAGUUAAGCGUAAAGAAAAAAAGUUUUCUUCAUGCUGAUUGGGUUAUGCUUUUAGAUCAAAAGAAAUGGUCCUAUCUCAGCAGAGAAUCAUAAAAUGGUUGCAAAACUAUUGUAUUCUGCUGAACGCAGCCAAUAGUAAAAAAAAGAUGAAUCAAUCGACGAAUUAAUAAAUUCCAUCUACAAACGAUCAUGAAUAUGCUAAUGUUUUUUCGGAACACAGUUAUGCUAACUCUGAGACUAGGCCCAGUUGCACCAACGUUACUUUAAUUUUAAA
Acromyrmex echinatior (Panamanian leafcutter ant) is the source of this 833-nucleotide unclassified non-coding RNA. The record is from RefSeq and is a predicted model, not a curated record. Lineage: Eukaryota; Metazoa; Arthropoda; Insecta; Hymenoptera; Formicidae.